RNAcentral lists this ribosomal RNA (465 nucleotides) under uncultured bacterium. RNAcentral's name for it is "partial 16S ribosomal RNA". It matches the Rfam family "Bacterial small subunit ribosomal RNA", at positions 28 to 507 of the family's 1533-position model. The record is from RNAcentral.
GACGAACGCUGGCGGCGUGCUUAACACAUGCAAGUCGAACGGAAAGGCCCUGCUUGCAGGGUACUCGAGUGGCGAACGGGUGAGUAACACGUGGGUGAUCUGCCCUGCACUUCGGGAUAAGCCUGGGAAACUGGGUCUAAUACCGGAUAGGAGCCAUUUUUAGUGUGAUGGUUGGAAAGUUUUUUCGGUGUAGGAUGAGCUCGCGGCCUAUCAGCUUGUUGGUGGGGUAAUGGCCUACCAAGGCGGCGACGGGUAGCCGGCCUGAGAGGGUGGACGGCCACAUUGGGACUGAGAUACGGCCCAGACUCCUACGGGAGGCAGCAGUGGGGAAUAUUGCACAAUGGGCGCAAGCCUGAUGCAGCGACGCCGCGUGGGGGAUGACGGCCUUCGGGUUGUAAACUCCUUUCGCUAGGGACGAAGCUUUUUGUGACGGUACCUAGCGAUGAAGCACCGGCUAACUACGUG